UGGGGAAUAUUGCACAAUGGGGGAAACCCUGAUGCAGCGACGCCGCGUGAGCGAUGAAGGCUUUCGAGUCGUAAAGCUCUGUCCUAUGGGAAGAUAAUGACGGUACCAUAGAAGAAAGCACCGGCUAAUUACGUGCCAGCAGCCGCGGUAAUACGUAAGGGGCGAGCGUUGUCCGGAAUUAUUGGGCGUAAAGAGUGCGUAGGCGGCAAAUUAAGUCAGAUGUGAAAACUAAGGGCUCAACCCAUAGAUUGCAUCUGAAACUGAUAUGCUUGAGUCAAGGAGAGGAAAGUGGAAUUCCUAGUGUAGCGGUGGAAUGCGUAGAUAUUAGGAGGAAUACCGGUGGCGAAGGCGACUUUCUGGACUUGAACUGACGCUGAGGCACGAAAGCGUGGGGAGCAAACAGG
Molecule: ribosomal RNA, 404 nt
Filed under: Verrucomicrobiota bacterium
Lineage: Bacteria; Pseudomonadati; Verrucomicrobiota
Description: Verrucomicrobia bacterium partial 16S ribosomal RNA
Rfam family: Bacterial small subunit ribosomal RNA
Source: RNAcentral